GAUGAACGCUGGCGGCGUGCCUAAUACAUGCAAGUCGAGCGAACGGACGAGAAGCUUGCUUCUCUGAUGUUAGCGGCGGACGGGUGAGUAACACGUGGAUAACCUACCUAUAAGACUGGGAUAACUUCGGGAAACCGGAGCUAAUACCGGAUAAUAUUUUGAACCGCAUGGUUCAAAAGUGAAGGACGGUCUUGCUGCCACUUAUAGAUGGAUCCGCGCUGCAUUAGCUAGUUGGUAAGGUAACGGCUUACCAAGGCAACGAUGCAUAGCCGACCUGAGAGGGUGAUCGGCCACACUGGAACUGAGACACGGUCCAGACCCCUACGGGAGGCAGCAGUAGGGAAUCCUCCGCAAUGGGCGAAAGCCUGACGGAGCAACGCCGCGUGAGUGAUGAAGGUCUUCGGAUCGUAAAACUCUGUUAUUAGGGAAGAACAUAUGUGUAAGUAACUGUGCACAUCUUGACGGUACCUAAUCAGAAAGCCACGGCUAACUACGUG
This 497-nucleotide ribosomal RNA is filed under the name uncultured bacterium. RNAcentral's name for it is "partial 16S ribosomal RNA". It matches the Rfam family "Bacterial small subunit ribosomal RNA", at positions 28 to 507 of the family's 1533-position model. The record is from RNAcentral.